Molecule: long non-coding RNA, 1851 nt
Organism: Pezoporus occidentalis (night parrot)
Lineage: Eukaryota; Metazoa; Chordata; Aves; Psittaciformes; Psittacidae
Exons: 3
Source: RefSeq, a predicted model, not a curated record
GCAUCAUAGGCUGGAACAAAGCUGGAAAAAGCAAAGAUUUUGAUCUAUGUUUUAAAGGUGGGCUGCUAGGAUGACUGUCCUUGCUGUUCAAAUACAUUCAGUUUGUUCUGAUUCCUGGUCUUCUCAUCAGCUGAGAGAUCCAGGAGUAACAGCCGUCAGCAAGCCCCAGGCCACCCAGCAGAUCAAUAGAUAAGUUGAGAUAAGAAUAUUGUUCUUACCUCCUGGGGCUGCUGCCUCCUCUAUGGUGUCAGAAAAGCCCAUUAAGUGCAACCUGUUUAUCCCAGGACAAACAAAUUUAAUUUCUUCUUUAAGUCUUUCUAGUUCUCUGUCACCAAACAUUGAUUUAAAAAUGGACAUUUGUCUUCCUUGGGCAGAACACUUUGGGUGUUUGCAGUCCUCUGAACUUGCUUUUUAACACUGGAAAGCGAUAGGGUUAGCAAAUUGAAACCUGUGAUAAACUUUUUAAUAGGCAGAUAAUGCCACCAGAUUUACAUGCUGACAAUGGAGUUGAUGUUAACGGAAGACAGUAUGAACUAAGGGAACUUUGGAGUCCUUUAAUGCUAAAAGCCUGCAGCAGGUAGGUUUUUAAUUUACAAGCUCCACUUACCAUCUACUUGUCAUUGGGAGCCUGAGGCUUUUGAAUGGGUAAAAGUGGAUAAAGCAGUUAAAGAGGUGCUGAAGUAUUAUUAGGUGUGGAGUGCCCACAGCAAAUACUCUGCAGUUGCCACACUGAUUAGGCACAGAGGCAUAGGCUGACAGUCAUUGCCAGCUGGUGCCAAUGUGCUCUAGUGGGAGAUCCACACCUAUUUGAGCAUGUGUUCACAGGGAAUAGAGGCUGGCAGCCUUAAUAUUAGCUUCACGCCAAGAGAAACAAGCAGUGACCAGGAAGCCAUUCUGAAUAAGACUUAUGUGCUGAAUGCCUUCAGCUCCUGCAAUUUCUCUCUGCCAUCAUACAACACCUCAGAAAUAGCAGAGAUGCUUCUGAGUACUUCUGCCACCAAGCAUGCCACACUAUUCCAGGACAUGAGAAAAACAAGCAGAGCAAAAAUCCUCUGUCAAGAAGCAGGCUGAGCUGUGCUCCGAACAUCACGCCCAUGCUGUCAGGACACAGACCGCUCCAUGGAAAGCUGAAGAAGCUGCUUCCUCAGGAAGCUGUAGGAAGGGAUGGGGAGCCAACGGGAGCUUUGCCAUGAAAAGCUUUUUGAUGAAAGGUGCUACGUAACACUGCAUGUUGUGGUGAAGGGGACACGAUGGAGUCUUUCCAGCAGGAGAUGAUGCAUUUGUACCAAAUCUGUAUGCAUGCUGUUUUCUCUGUUGGAAUAUUGUUGUUGUCCUUUAUUACAUUAAAGGGGAACAUCUUUAUCUCAUGGUGAUUUGGGUGGGGUGUGACAUUGUCUAAUGUAAAAGGGGCCUGCAAUAUCAAGGAGACAACCGUGAAAUAACACAUUACACACUGAAUUGAACAGCAGGCUCAUUUACAUUCCUUUAAUUUGGAACUACGAACAUUCAAAAACCCUCUUCUCCACUCGCAUUCCCUUAUUUGGGAAACAUGUAAAUUACUUUUAUGAUAAUUUAGUAUUUAACUGGUACAAGCAUUGCAAAUUCCAGAAGCAAACGUUUCAAAAUAGACAGGAGCUGUGCCAGCUUCCUCUGCAAAUGCGUGUGGUAAAAGCCACCUCUGAGGAUGACUCUGAAAACAGCAUCUCUAGCUCCUGGACCUGCGCAUACACGCACUUGUAGAGCAGAUGGGACAGCUGGGGUGAGGCUUGUAGGGCUAGACCUUUUGUCCCUAUCAUGGUGUAGGCUUGUCAUGUGUGGCAGAUGGAUUUAAUUAAUAAAAUGAGUGUAUCG